AGGGUUGCCAUUUGCGCUGGGAAUACAGACCUUGAAUAUAUACCCAAACUUAACCCCGCAAACCUGGGUUUUAUAAGCCUCUCAGCGCCCACCCUUCCCCUGACACGGUAGGGGUCAAGGGUUCAAAUCCCUUCGUGCCUACCA
Molecule: transfer RNA, 144 nt
Filed under: Deltaproteobacteria bacterium
Lineage: Bacteria; Pseudomonadati; Myxococcota; Myxococcia
Description: tRNA-Val
Source: RNAcentral